This 62-nucleotide transfer RNA is filed under the name Siphoninus phillyreae (ash whitefly). Its description in RNAcentral is "tRNA-Ala". The record is from RNAcentral. Lineage: Eukaryota; Metazoa; Arthropoda; Insecta; Hemiptera; Aleyrodidae.
AGGGCAAUAGUUUAUAAAAAACAUUUAACUUGCAAUUAAAAAAAAAUUAAUAUUUUGUCUAA